Molecule: long non-coding RNA, 411 nt
Filed under: Hordeum vulgare
Lineage: Eukaryota; Viridiplantae; Streptophyta; Magnoliopsida; Poales; Poaceae
Description: long non-coding RNA (HVUL_LNC019699)
Source: RNAcentral
CACGGCGGUGGAAGUCACUGUAGCUCUUCUAUCUUGACUUGGCAGUCUCUAUACUUUCCCUAAAAAAUCAGACUUUCUCUUGUGCUUCAGGAAGGACAUCUGGUUCAAAUACUAGCCCUUCUCCAAUUUCUGACCAGUUUGGGGAGUGCGGCACUUGCGUCCAUACAACACCUCAAAUGGUGCAAGGAGCUAUCAGAAACAACCCACCACUUUAGUCACCGAUUCAACAUGACUCAAUGCAUCGGAACAAAGUGCUAUAUAUCAUGUCUAAAAAUAGUUUCUUAGUCAUGGUCAAAGGGUUGCUUGCCUUGCUUAACAAAGUCUCCCGGGUCUUCAAAAUCUUAUGGUCCAAGUCCCUCAUCAACAACGCAAUCUAUCGUCACAAUAUUAAUGGGAAAAAAUAAGAACACG